Non-coding RNA from Arachis ipaensis, 310 nucleotides. Lineage: Eukaryota; Viridiplantae; Streptophyta; Magnoliopsida; Fabales; Fabaceae. The record is from RefSeq and is a predicted model, not a curated record.
GUGGCACUACCUCCACCUGGACAGAAAGACCCUAUGAAGCUUCACUGUUCCCUGGGAUUGGCUUUGGGCUUUUCCUGCGCAGCUUAGGUGGAGGGCGAAGAAGGCCUCCUUCCGGGGGGGCCCGAGCCAUCAGUGAGAUACCACUCUGGAAGAGCUAGAAUUCUAACCUUGUGCCAGGACCUACGGGCCAUCCGGUUCAGAAUGGAUCUCGGAUAAUGAGUCAGAUCAAAUCAAUAUUAAUCCAUUUUUUCCUAUUCUUUCCAGAAAAAAAUUCAACAAUCACAUAUCCAAAAUCAUGAAACUAUUCAUA